CUCACUCCUCUGCCCUUCUCCCCACGUGCACUUUCUACUUCACUCUUCCUCUUGGCCUUUUUGCUUCCCCUUUGCUGCAUUUUUUUCACUUCCUUCCCUCCUAGCCUACUGAUUUUUUUCUCACCAACAGGUUAUCUCAAAGCCAGAAUUAGGCCUAAGACUUGAGGAAAGGAAAUUGACCUCUGAACUGGUGACUGAAGAGUCAGCUCCAGCCAGCCUCCGUCUAGGCUGCAAAGAGUGUGGGGCUCCCUAAGGGGAGUUGAAGGAAGCGCAGCCCUUUCUGCCUCAGGACCUUUACACUUACUGCUCAUGCAGAUUCCACUCUCUUCCUAUCCUGCAUAUCUGACUCCUUCUCAUCCUGUGGGUCUCAACAUGCAUGUCCCCUCCUCAGAGAGACCACUUCUCCCUGACUACAGUUGACAGCUCCCUGUUGAUCUCCUUCAGAGCUCUUGUCUCUACCUGGGUGUCCCUUGUGGAGGUCCUCGUUUAUUUCCUGUCCUCAGUGGCAGAGUUCCCCAGGUGCCGGGACAGCAGCAGGCAUGCCCAGAAGGGGAAAGCCAAGGUCCCUCGGCCACCUUCCUGGAGAGCUGCAGACGGCCCUGACUGGGAGCCUAGGCCCAUUCUGGCCCUGAAGGAGCAGUUGCUGCCAUCCAAGCUGGCUGGGUCUCCCUGAGGUGCUGGCCCGUGUCCUUGCGCAGCCCUCUGAGUCUUCACUGUGUCUCGGUGGGCGCCGGCACUGUUGGGAAACCCGGAGCUCUUCCUGAAGCCGCCUUCUUCCUCAGAGGCCCUCACCCUGCCCCCUGUGGCAGGAGCCCCAUCUCCGGGCUAAGGAGGGGUGGCUAGGGCGCCGCCCUCAGUGAGUAGCCUGAAGCUGCAGGCAUGGUUACGACCUCGGUCUGAGCACCUGGCCACUUUGCUGAGUGCCUGUGGAGCCCCCACGCCUCCUGUGAUGUUCAUGCCACAGGUCCCAGCCCAGCCACUGGCCUUUUGGGUGACCGUGGGUAAGGGAUAGCACCUUUCUGAGCCUUGAUUUCCUUGUCUGUAAAAUGGGGAUAAUUAGUUCCUCUCCCAGAGGGACAUCAGGCAUCUUUAUACCUGUGGUCUUAGGAGGCCAGUACCUGAGGACUUGCAGCCAGGGCAUGACUGACAUCUAGUGUUAGUGAGGACAGCGUGGAUGGGUGUGUCAACCCAGCUGUCUGGAGGCUGAUUGGCAGGUGUCAGUCACAUCUUAGGUUUUGAUGCAGCAGUUGCCAUGUGACAGCAUAGAGUAGCUGAUGAUAGGGAAUCGGUCAAAUAUGUGGUGGUCUUGCCAUCAAUGGGAGGCCCCUGCUUAGGAUGAGGGAGGCGGGCAGGAUGUUUUGCGAUCCAGAAAGCCUUUGUGACUUACUGAACAUGUGGAAAUCAAAAUCAUUGAUCUCUUGGAGGUAGAGUAGAAGGUGCUUCCCAGAGGCUAGGAAGGGAGGGGAAGGAGUGGGAGAGAGGAUGGUUCAAGGGUAGAGGGGUAAAGUUGAUAGGAUUGACUCCUAAAGACCCACAGCACAGUAGGCUAAGAUUGACAGCAGCUAAUUGCAUAUUUCAGAGUAGCUGGUAGGAUUUUGAGUGUUCCUAACAAAAAGAUACGGGUACAGAAAGUACCCAGAUGUGACCAUUACACGUUGUAUACUGUACAUGUGUUAAAAUAUGCACUAUACACAAUCACAGUGUGUCAAUUAAAAAUGUACCUCUGAAAAAGA
Molecule: non-coding RNA, 1733 nt
Organism: Heterocephalus glaber (naked mole-rat)
Lineage: Eukaryota; Metazoa; Chordata; Mammalia; Rodentia; Bathyergidae
Source: RefSeq, a predicted model, not a curated record